UUUUUUUUUUUUUUUUUUUGGUUUUUGGUUUUUGGUUUUUUGAGACAAGGUUUCUCUGUGUAGUCCUGGCAGUCCUGGAACUCACUUUGUAGACCAGGCUGGCCUCAAACUCAGAAAUCUGCCUGCCUCUGCCUCCCAAGUGCUGGGAUCAAAGGUGUGCGCCACCACUGCCCAGCCUGAGUGCUUUUCUUAAAGGAGGCAAACAUGAUUGUUUUCUAAAGGGAAAAAGGAAAGAAAAGGAUCAGCUGGUUGAUAUAUAACAAGAGUGAAAGGUAGACUGCACUGGAAUUGGACUAGGGAAAGCCUGAGGUGCAUGCACACACACACACACACACACACACACACACACUGCUCCUGCCAUUCUCUAUGGCCUAACAGCCACUGAAGCUGUGAAAUACUUGAGACCAGUAACCUUUUGGGAAAGGGCAGACUUGCUCUGCAUCCUGUCUUGAAGUGGCAGUGCUGAGCCAGCUUGCCAGUGUUAGAAAGCUCUGGAAUGGAGAAAAACAAAGUGAGAGAAAAUGCCCAGGCUUCACUGAGCUCUGGAGUGGGGGAGACAGAGGAGGAGACCCUGCCACUGAGAGGCUGUGGGUUGAAGACCUGUGUGAGUCUCCAUGGAUGCCCCAGGACCUCUCACACUUGGGAAGCAUCCUGGCCACUCCACAGUGCCACUCAGUACAGCAUGAAAACUGCUAUUAAACACUCCAUGUAAGUCCAGGAGCAAAAUGUUGAAGAACAACUGUCAAAGGUCUGAGGUAGUUGGCUUUCCUCCUGACAUGAAGAGUCAGAAGGGCAAAGGAGUUCUCCUUCCACACACACAUGCUGUAAUUUCCAUAUUGGAAAGCUUUUCAUGUCUAGCGGGAAGUCAUCUGGUUACAACCCAGACAACAGUAAAGGUAUCCAGUGGUGUCCUCUGUUCCUCGGUUGUCACCCUAUCUCUGGUUGCUUUAUCAGAUAGUCACAAAACGCUUGGGCAGGGGUUUAUCCAGCUCAGGCCAUUAGAGUCCUCAACUGCACAGCCAAGCCUCAUUAUCUAGAUUCUAUACUUGUUAUUCUCCUACUUAAAUUCAUUGGUAACUUCCAAAUCAAUGCUGUGCUUCUGUGAAUAUUUGUGGACUUGCUCAGGACUCUGAAAACCUCAAGUCACCAGACAUACUGGUUCCCAGCUGAGAUCAAACAGUAGCCAACACAUCUGCAUCCUUAAGGAAGGGCUUUCUCCUGAUUCCAGGAGGCCUCUGGGCUCUUCUGGGGCUCCACAGCCUCUAAAGUGAAGUCUAUAAUGGAGAUGUCUUCCCAGCCUGGGGUCACUUAGUCAGUACUACUCAAUUCUAAAAUGAAGAAACACUAGGCUAUAUCAAAACAACAAUUGUCCCCACAUCAUUGUGAGCAGAUUUAGAGACAGCUGGACUCCAGGAGAACCUAGUCUACAUAGAGGGACACCCAGCCCCAGACUACAAGCUUAACCACAUAGCUUAUUUCCCAGUGAAAUUACCUUCCCAAUGAAAGUGGGUUAGCAGGAGGUCUCUGCUUCCGAUCUGUUAUAGAAUGUCUGCUGCCUUCUGUCAGACAGUUGAAAGGGAAGUUGGGUACCACACUAGCCACAAGAAGGAAGAACUAGGCCACAGUACACAGUAGUUUGAGACAGGAUUUGAACAAGCAGACCUGGUGGGAAGCCUGGUCUGCUGCUAGCAGCAAGUCAGGAAAACGAUCCAAGUUUCACUUUGCUUUUCCAUAAAGGAGCUAAAUGUACUCUCUGCUUAGCACGAUACUGUGUGAUGUCCCUAAAGUCCUAGCUCAGUGGUUCUCCACCUUCCUAAUGCUUUGACCCAGUUCCUCAUGUUGUGAUGACCCCCAACCACACAAUUAUUCCCAUUGCUACUCCAUAACUGUAAUUUUGCUACUGUUAUGAAUCAUAAUGAUAUCUGAUAUUUCCGAUGGUUUAGGUGAUCCCAAAGGGGUCUCACCCCACAAACUGAGAACCAUUGUCUUAGAUGCCUACAGUAAGGCAGUAAUAGCCAUUAACAAGAAAGCCCAGGACACAGGUUUUGAAACAAGGGGAACCAGAACUGUGCCCACCACUAAACCACGUGACUGACUACUCCUGGGUCUCAGCUUCCUCAUCUGUAAAAAGCAAAUGAAAACGCCAGCUUUCACUGAGUUCUGGAAGGAUAAAACAGGAUACUGCAUCCAACAUGUGCACACGUGCACACAUGCACACACGCGCGCGCGCACACACACACACACACACACACACACACACACACGUAGCACAGUCAGUAAGUGGUGCUGGUGGUAACUGAAAUGCUAAUACUAACUUAGAUGCUUGUUCUGGCUGCAGAGAAUCACAGUAGCACCAAACCAUCAACCCAGGACAGCAGAGGGUAGGGGAGGCUGCAACUGUUUUGGUGAAAGUGAAGGUUCUAGAAAUAACAGUUAGGAUUGCCUCAGCUCCUCCUGAGGGUCAUGACAGGGACAGAGCUCCAGGGACCACAGUGAAUACGUUGACAUGACUUGGCAGGAUAAUGUAGAAAAUGAGAAAGGCAGGGACAGAAAUGACCAAGAAACCAUGAAAAGAUGCAUUUGCCUUAUAAAAAAGCCACAAAUGCUUUCUGCACAUUUGUAUCGUUCUUUUUUAAAUUACUAUUUUAUCCCUCCUCCUCUUCCUCUUCCUCUUCCUCCUCCUCCUCCUCCUCUUCCUCCUCCUUCUCCUCCUUCUCCUCCUUCUCCCGACUUUGAGAUAGGCUGGCCUGGAACACACAGGUUUGCCUGCUUCUGCUUUCUGAGUGCUGGGGUUAAAGGUGUGAGCUAUCAAGUCUUUUUUAUUUAUUAUUAUUUAGUGUGCAUCUGUACAUGAAUCACAUGUGAGUUCCUCAAUCCGUGUGUGUCAGAGGACAACUCUGUGGAGUUGGUUCUCUCCGUCCACGCCUACAUGGGUCCCAGGGUUUGAACUCAGGUCAGGAUAUAGCAAAUGCCUGUACCCACUGAGCUGUCUCACCGGCCCUACUCAUGUCGUUCUAAACACUGCUAAUCUCUUUUGCUCUUAUAACAUGUCUUACUUCUGAUUUUUAAAUUUAUUUCUUGAUUUAUGUAUUUACUUAUUUAGUUAUGUGUGGGUGUGCACAUGCAUGUGCCCUUGCAAUGCAUCCAGACAUCAAUGUCAGGACAACGACCAGGACUCAGUUCUCUUCCUCUACCACGUGGGUCCCAGGAACCAAACUCAGAUCAUCAGAAUUGGCAGCAGGUGCCUCCCCCUGCUGAGCCAUCUGUCUGGCCCAUUUAUUUUUCUCUUUUGUUUUCUUAAGUAUGUUAUUUUAGUUGGGGUUUCUACUGCUGUGAAGAGACACCACAACCACAACAACUCUUAUAAAGGAAAACAUUUCAUUAGGGCUGGCUUACAGUUUUAGAGGCUUAGUCCAUCGUUGUCGUGGUGGGAACAUGGUGACAUGGUGCUGGAGAAGUUGAGUCCUACAUUUGGAUCUUCGGGGAGCAGAAGGAGACUCUGCCUGGCCGACCAGACUUGAGCUUAAAGACCUCAGAUCCUGCCUCCACAGCAAUGCACUUCCUCGAGGCCACACCUCCUAACAGCGCCAUUCCCUAUGGGCCAGGCAUUGAAACAUGUAUCGUGAGGGCCCUUCCUAUUCAGCACCACAGAUAUCAAUCAGCCUGCAUUCAUGCUCAUUAUGAGGCAAGCUUGUCAUGUCCUUUCCUGAUACACCAGCUUCACUAACUGGUUACGGGCCCUUCUUCCAUUCUCUGAGAUUGUAUAAGAUCAAAACUAAUGCUCCUUAAAUAGCUCCUGUUAGUGCUUUUUUCUAAAGGAAAUAUUUCAUCUACAGAUGUAACUGCUUUGAUAAUCAUAGGAUAGUAUGACAUUAUUCUUUCUUUGUAAAUCAGUGCUUAUUGUUAUUUUUCUAGGAAUUUGUGGUAACUUCCUAUGAAAUUUUUGCUUUUGCUAAAAAGAAAAAAUCUAUCUUGUUAGAUGUAGGUACGUAAACAUUUUGCGUGUUUAUAUAAAAUAUACUUAUUCUUUCACUUUUAACAUUCCUGUGCUCUGAUACCUUAAAAUCAUCUAAAACUCUAAAAAGUAUUCAAUCUUGGAGAUGGAGAGAUGAUUUACCAUCUGACCGCCCUAGCAGAGGACUGGCGUUCGAUUCCCAGCACUGGUAUGGGUGUGGUGGAUCUCAACUGUCCGUAGCUCGAGUCCCGAGGGAUCAGUGCCAUCUUCCAGCCUCAGGCAGGCACAUUAGUGAAUACAGUGAUACACUGCAGCCAGAACAUCGAAACACAUUAAAAUAAAUAGAUUUUUUAAAAUGUUAAUUCAAUCUCUAGCCAGCUUUGGCGAGUAAGAAUCUUAAAUCUUAGGACUCAGAGGAGGAGGGAGGCAGGGGAAUCAGGAAGAUCUGGAGGUCAAGCCUUGUCCACAAAGUGAGUUCAAGUCCAGCCUGCAGUAUGAGAGCAGUUUCCCAAAAAGAAGAAAAAUGCACUCCAAUUUUUCUUUAUUAUUUACGUAAUUUUAAACAUUUAUUUGUUUAUUGUGUAUACAUGUGUGAGGGCAAUAAGGGAUGGACAGGGUAAUAUGCUUAACAUACAAUAUAUGCCAG
RNAcentral lists this long non-coding RNA (4601 nucleotides) under Mus musculus (house mouse). RNAcentral describes it as "long non-coding RNA chr2:120467827-120472428". Lineage: Eukaryota; Metazoa; Chordata; Mammalia; Rodentia; Muridae. The record is from RNAcentral.